UAGCGUUAGAGGCCAAUGGCCCUCCUCUCUAUCUUCCAAGAUUUGUAUCUUAUCCAAACUCUGUCUCUCUCUCUCUGUGUCGAUGCGAAAGAUGUUAACCAUGUCAAUUCAACCAAGCAUAACAAGCCGCCCUUCCUCUGUUUUCAAGAACAACUCCUCCGCGCCGUCAUUUUGUGUGAAUCUUCUCACCUGAAAUCCAAGCCCACAGAGGAUGCGGAACAACCUCACAGUUAGGUGCAGUGGCUGUGAAGACUGUGGGGCGGCCCAAUCUGGUGUUGAAGUUCAUAUGGAUGGAGAAGAGAAGAACAUCGGUGUGGGAUUGGAGCAGAGCAUACCGGGGCAUGGCACCAUUCCGCUGAGCCCUUACUUCUUCUGGCCGAGGAAAGAUGCAUGUGAAGAGCUCAAGGCUACUCUACAGAGCAAGCCAUGGAUCUCGCACAACAAUAUCAUCAUUCUUCUUCAUCAAUCUCUGGAAACAAACUGUGUCUUGAACUCAACACUUUUAUGUUCUACUUUUGCUGCUUUAUUACUACUACAAACUUGGCAAGAUACAACGCAUCUUCAAGAAUGAAUCUGCUAUAAAUAAAACAAAUGCGGUAUUUUCCAUGAAAA
This is a long non-coding RNA of Salvia splendens (bonfire salvia), 612 nucleotides long. RefSeq lists it as uncharacterized. The transcript has 2 exons. The record is from RefSeq and is a predicted model, not a curated record. NCBI's taxonomy places the organism in Eukaryota, Viridiplantae, Streptophyta, Magnoliopsida, Lamiales, Lamiaceae.